RNAcentral lists this ribosomal RNA (816 nucleotides) under uncultured Desulfobacterales bacterium. Its description in RNAcentral is "SSU rRNA". It matches the Rfam family "Bacterial small subunit ribosomal RNA", at positions 24 to 849 of the family's 1533-position model. The record is from RNAcentral. Lineage: Bacteria; Pseudomonadati; Thermodesulfobacteriota; Desulfobacteria; Desulfobacterales.
UCAGAACGAACGCUGGCGGCGUGCCUAACACAUGCAAGUCGAACGAGAAAGUUUCCUUCGGGAAACCMGUAWAGUGGCGCAAGGGUGAGUAACACGUGAAUAAUCUACCUAUGAAUUCGGGAUAACUCSWCGAAAGUUGUGCUAAUACCGGAUAAGACCACGUCUCUUAUGUGAUGUGGCCAAAGGAGUCUCAAACUUCGUUUAUAGAUGAGUUCGCGGACCAUUAGCUUGUUGGCGGGAUAACAGCCCACCAAGGCGACGAUGGUUASCCGGCCUGASAGGGUGAUCGGCCACACUGGAACUGAGACACGGUCCAGACUCCUACGGGAGGCAGCAGUGGGGAAUAUUGCGCAAUGGGCGAAAGCCUGACGCAGCAACGCCGCGUGAGGGAUGAAGGAUUUUGGUUCGUAAACCUCUGUCAAGUGGGAAGAAUAAUGACGGUACCACUAAAGGAAGCCCCGGCUAACUCCGUGCCAGCAGCCGCGGUAAUACGGAGGGGGCAAGCGUUGUUCGGAAUUAUUGGGCGUAAAGAGUAUGUAGGCGGCUAGAUAAGUCAGACGUGUAAGCCCAUGGCUCAACCAUGGAAUUGCGUUUGAAACUAUUUAGCUUGAGUGCAGGAGAGGAAAGCGGAAUUCCCAGUGUAGCGGUGAAAUGCAUUGAUAUUGGGAAGAACACCGGUGGCGAAGGCGGCUUUCUGGUCUGUUACUGACGCUGAGAUACGAAAGCCAGGGGAGCAAAGGGGAUUAGAUACCCCCGUAGUCCUGGCCGUAAACGAUGGGCACUAGGUGGAGGAGGUAUCGAUCCCUUCUCUGUNGA